RNAcentral lists this ribosomal RNA (467 nucleotides) under uncultured bacterium. RNAcentral's name for it is "bacterial SSU rRNA". It matches the Rfam family "Bacterial small subunit ribosomal RNA", at positions 329 to 793 of the family's 1533-position model. The record is from RNAcentral.
GACCAGACUCCUACGGGAGGCAGCAGUGAGGAAUAUUGGUCAAUGGGCGCGAGCCUGAACCAGCCAAGUCGCGUGAGGGAGGACGGCCCUACGGGUUGUAAACCUCUUUUGCCGGGGAGCAACGGGCGUCACGUGUGGCGUCACUGAGAGUACCCGGAGAAAAAGCAUCGGCUAACUCCGUGCCAGCAGCCGCGGUAAUACGGAGGAUGCGAGCGUUAUCCGGAUUUAUUGGGUUUAAAGGGUGCGUAGGCGGAUCGUUAAGUCAGUGUAAAAAUGGGGGGGCCCACCCCCUCCCCGCCAUUGAAACUGGCGAUCUUGAGUGGAAGAGAAGUAUGCGGAAUGCGUGGUGUAGCGGUGAAAUGCAUAGAUAUCACGCAGAACCCCGAUUGCGAAGGCAGCAUACCGGUGCACGACUGACGCUCAGGCACGAGAGCGUGGGUAUCGAACAGGAUUAGAUACCCCAGUAG